AAAAUCCGAAGUCCCUCUAUCCCCA
This 25-nucleotide transfer RNA is filed under the name Stephanodaphne cremostachya. Its description in RNAcentral is "tRNA-Leu(UAA)". The record is from RNAcentral. Lineage: Eukaryota; Viridiplantae; Streptophyta; Magnoliopsida; Malvales; Thymelaeaceae.